AUUGAACGCUGGCGGCAGGCCUAACACAUGCAAGUCGAACGGUAACAGGAAGAAGCUUGCUUCUUUGCUGACGAGUGGCGGACGGGUGAGUAAUGUCUGGGAAACUGCCUGAUGGAGGGGGAUAACUACUGGAAACGGUAGCUAAUACCGCAUAACGUCGCAAGACCAAAGAGGGGGACCUUCGGGCCUCUUGCCAUCGGAUGUGCCCAGAUGGGAUUAGCUAGUAGGUGGGGUAACGGCUCACCUAGGCGACGAUCCCUAGCUGGUCUGAGAGGAUGACCCGGCAACACGGAAACUAGGCCACGUCCCAACCCCCUAGGGGGGGCAGCGUUGGGAAUAUUUGAACAUGGGGCGAAAGCCUGUGGCGGCCAGGCGGGGGGAAGGAAGAGGGCCUUGGGGUGGUAAGGUACUUUCGGCGGGGGGAAAGGAAGUAAGUUAAUACCUUUGCUCAUUGACGUUACCCGCAGAAGAAGCACCGGCUAACUCCGUG
Molecule: ribosomal RNA, 490 nt
Filed under: uncultured bacterium
Lineage: Bacteria
Description: partial 16S ribosomal RNA
Rfam family: Bacterial small subunit ribosomal RNA
Source: RNAcentral